UACGGAGGGUGCAAGCGUUAAUCGGAAUUACUGGGCGUAAAGGGCACGCAGGCGGUCUGUUAAGCCAGAUGUGAAAGCCCCGGGCUUAACCUGGGAAUAGCAUUUGAAACUGGAAGGCUUGAGUGCAGUAGAGGGAGGUAGAAUUCCAGGUGUAGCGGUGAAAUGCGUAGAGAUCUGGAGGAAUACCGGUGGCGAAGGCGGCCCCCUGGACAAAGACUGACGCUCAGGUGCGAAAGCGUGGGGAGCAAACAGG
This 253-nucleotide ribosomal RNA is filed under the name uncultured bacterium. RNAcentral describes it as "partial 16S ribosomal RNA". It matches the Rfam family "Bacterial small subunit ribosomal RNA", at positions 524 to 776 of the family's 1533-position model. The record is from RNAcentral.